UACGAAGGGAGCUAGCGUUGUUCGGAAUCACUGGGCGUAAAGCGCACGUAGUCGGAUUUGUCAGUCAGGGGUGAAAUCCCGGGGCUCAACCUCGGAACUGCCUUUGAUACAGCAAGUCUUGAGUUCGAGAGAGGUGGGUGGAAUUCCUAGUGUAGAGGUGAAAUUCGUAGAUAUUAGGAAGAACACCGGUGGCGAAGGCGGCCCACUGGCUCGAUACUGACGCUGAGGUGCGAAAGCUAGGGGAGCAAACGGG
Molecule: ribosomal RNA, 253 nt
Filed under: uncultured bacterium
Lineage: Bacteria
Description: partial 16S ribosomal RNA
Rfam family: Bacterial small subunit ribosomal RNA
Source: RNAcentral